RNAcentral lists this ribosomal RNA (232 nucleotides) under uncultured bacterium. RNAcentral describes it as "partial 16S ribosomal RNA". It matches the Rfam family "Bacterial small subunit ribosomal RNA", at positions 104 to 334 of the family's 1533-position model. The record is from RNAcentral.
CGGGGUGAGUAACGCGUGAGGAACCUGCCUUGAAGAGGGGGACAACAGUUGGAAACGACUGCUAAUACCGCAUGAAGCAUAGGGGUCGCAUGAUUCUUAUGCCAAAGAUUUAUCGCUUCAAGAUGGCCUCGCGUCUGAUUAGCUGGUUGGCGGGGUAACGGCCCACCAAGGCGACGAUCGGUAGCCGGACUGAGAGGUUGAACGACCACAUUGGGACUGAGACACGGACCAG